This 970-nucleotide ribosomal RNA is filed under the name Psiloglonium simulans. RNAcentral describes it as "LSU rRNA". It matches the Rfam family "Eukaryotic large subunit ribosomal RNA", at positions 38 to 964 of the family's 3401-position model. Lineage: Eukaryota; Fungi; Ascomycota; Dothideomycetes; Hysteriales; Hysteriaceae. The record is from RNAcentral.
GCAUAUCAAUAAGCGGAGGAAAAGAAACCAACAGGGAUUGCCUUAGUAACUGGCGAGUGAAGCGGCAACAGCUCAAAUUUGAAAUCUGGCCCUCUAGGGUCCGAGUUGUAAUUUGUAGAGGAUGCUUCGGUGUUGGCCCUGGCCUAAGUUUCUUAGAACAGGACGUCAUAGAGGGUGAGAACCCCGUACGUGGCCAGUGUCCCUCACCAUGUGAAGCUCCUUCGACGAGUCGAGUUGUUUGGGAAUGCAGCUCUAAAUGGGAGGUAAAUUUCUUCUAAAGCUAAAUAUUGGCCAGAGACCGAUAGCGCACAAGUAGAGUGAUCGAAAGAUGAAAAGCACUUUGGAAAGAGAGUUAAAAAGUACGUGAAAUUGUUGAAAGGGAAGCGCUUGCAACCAGACCUGCCCGCGGUUGCUCAUCUAGGCUUCUGCCUGGUGCACUCUUCCGCGGUCAGGCCAGCAUCGGUUCGGGCGGCCGGACAAAGGCGGCGGGAAUGUAGCUCCUCUUGGGGAGUGUUAUAGCCCGCUGUGUAAUGCGGCCAGCCGGGACCGAGGUCCGCGCUUCGGCUAGGAUGCUGGCGUAAUGGUUGUAAGCGGCCCGUCUUGAAACACGGACCAAGGAGUCUAACAUCUGUGCGAGUGUUUGGGUGUCAAGCCCGGGCGCGUAAUGAAAGUGAAUGGAGGCGGGAACCCUCGGGUGCACCGUCGACCGAUCCUGAUGUCUUCGGAUGGAUUUGAGUAAGAGCAUAGCUGUUGGGACCCGAAAGAUGGUGAACUAUGCCUGAAUAGGGUGAAGCCAGAGGAAACUCUGGUGGAGGCUCGCAGCGGUUCUGACGUGCAAAUCGAUCGUCAAAUUUGGGCAUAGGGGCGAAAGUAAGUUUCAUAUUUUGCGUUUUGUUUAGGUUAUUUAGAAUUCAAUGCUAACAAUUCUGUUAGGACUAAUCGACUAUCCUAGUAGCUGGGUUCCUGCCGA